Molecule: long non-coding RNA, 1348 nt
Filed under: Mus caroli (Ryukyu mouse)
Lineage: Eukaryota; Metazoa; Chordata; Mammalia; Rodentia; Muridae
Description: lncRNA (MGP_CAROLIEiJ_G0002699.1)
Source: RNAcentral
UCAGACUCCUCCGCGCUCUUGGCGCCCCCGCUCUCCACCCGGCGCAGAUGAAGGCCCCCGCCGCGGCCGCCGCGCUGAGAAGGCAGCGAGCCACUCCCGCCGCCUCCGACGCUCCCGCUGCAGCUGCCGCCGCCCCGCGCCGGAGAGCCGCUGUCGGAACCCGAAGCCCCGGAUUCCUCGUCCUCCGUGUCCUGGGAAGCGCGCUGCCGCCGCCGGUCCGCCAUCUUACGGAGAACGGCCACCGCUGGUCAGCUCCUUACGCACCACGCCCGUCGCGGAGGCUGCCGGGAAGCUCGAGACUCCGGAGUCCCGGCGUGCUUCACGUCCAGAGAGGGCCGCCCUUCUUUCCGCGGGGCGGGGCCUGCGCCCUGCGGCACGUUUUCUGGAGAGCGAGAUGACGUCUGUCGGUGAUGGUGGUUUCCCUGCAACAGUUGAUGGCCAAGGAUAUCAAACCUUAAACUCAGAACAUGGCAGGUUCAUAGCCCUGGAGCAGCUUGUGCCUUUCCUUCUCGUUAUCCCUCUUCACCAGCUGCAUCCGCCUUUCCAUACGUUCAAUCCGAGCAAGGAGCUAGAGGGAAGUGACAAGGUGCAGACUUACACACCAAAGUUAAACACCGGUACUUAGCCCCAUUUAGGAAUCAGCGAUCUUCUGCAUGCCACUAUGGUCCCUACCAAUUCAACUUUUACUCUGAAUUGGCAGGCACGAAUCUGAAUGGCUUCCCUUAAACGCAAUAAAGGCAAAAGACAAUUAAUUGUAGGAGUUAGUCUGGAUGGCAAGAGGCUGGGGCAACCUGAAGUUCUUUCUUUGAAGGGGAGACCCUUCCCACUGGGCAGGAUCGGAGUACCUUUUAAUGGCAAGGCCUCUGCCACUUGGCUCCAAGUCUUUUGGGACCCCCUCAAUUGAACCUUGUUUCAGUUCGUCGUCGUUGUACGCGGUGCUAGGGAUGGAAUCAGGGCCUCCUGACUGUGCUUGGCAAACACUCUAAGCACCACCACCACUGAGCUACAUUCUCAGCCCUGUGUUCUUUUAAGGUGUCCUACGGUUGUCCAAAUUCUAUCUGCUCUAUGUUCACUCCAAAACUCUAGACAGAGUGGAAUGUUUAAACAGCACAAUGCAGAAGAAUCAAGGGCUCACAGAGCGUCCCUAGGGAUAGCAGUAUCACAUCAAAAUGUUAUGUGUACGUAUUUGAGGGAGUACUUCUAAAACAUACUACACUGGAAAGAAUUAUAAUCGACGCCAGUAAUAUAAUCCCAACACACAUGACAUAUAUAUUCUGCUUUGUGUUGGAGAUAACAGGAAACUAUUAUCUAAAUAUUUAUCAAAAUUACAUUCUAAUUGAAGAGAACC